Piliocolobus tephrosceles (Ugandan red Colobus) is the source of this 6679-nucleotide RNA transcript. It is a transcript of the gene named leukocyte receptor cluster member 8, with no coding region annotated. Lineage: Eukaryota; Metazoa; Chordata; Mammalia; Primates; Cercopithecidae. The record is from RefSeq and is a predicted model, not a curated record. The transcript has 16 exons.
GGACUGGAUAAUUUGUAUCCGAGUCCUGGAUGGAAACAGACGGCUCUCAAAAGGUGGCGCGGAGUCCAGAGAAAUGCCUAUGUACAGAUUUGGUCCAAUGCCUCAGCCUGACCUCAGUGACCUUUGGGAGUCCGCUCCGCGUCCACCCUUACACACCUGUGACCCCACACACUUCCACCCCAGCGCCCCUGCCAAUGCUACCCCCACCCCCCUCCAACCGCGCCAGCUUCCAGCCUCCGUCCAUCUGAACUCGCCGCGCCCCCUCCACUGCGCCCUUCCAGAUUCAUUGACUAGGGAAGCCCGCUCUUCCGGGGGGAGCUGUUCCUCACCCCCUUUCUUUAUCAUUCUCUCCCCAGGGCUUCCACAUCACGGUGCUGUGGACAAUCCCGUAACUCUUGUCACGCCAGUGUACAUGGAGGAACAGUAAUGGCUCCCACUGACUCAGUCAAAACAAGGUUGCGGCCGGGCGCGGUGGCUCACGCCCGUAAUCCCAGCACUUGGGAGGCCGAGGGGGACGGAUCACGAGAUUAAGAGUUCGAGACCAGCCUGGCCAACAGGGUGAAACCCCGUCUUUACUAAAAAUACAAAAAUUAGCCGGGUAUAGGGGCGCGCGCCUGUAAUCCCAGCUACUCCGGAGGCUGAGGCAAGAUAACUGCUUGAACCCGGGAGGCGGAGGUUGCAGUGAGGCGAGAUCGCGCCACUGCACUCCAUCCUGGGCGAUGACAGAGCAAGAGCAAUACUCUGUCUCCGAGAACGAGAACAACAACAACAAAACGGGGCUGCGUGGGACGCAAAAACAGCUAAUGCGGCCUCACUUGUCCCCUCGGGGCCACCGUCCCCACCCAGACUUCCGGCCUGCCUUAAAAUGCUCAUGCGUUAGUGCGUGGGAGGGAGGGCGGGCUCAAGCGUAGCUCGUGGCGGUCAUUGGCUGUGCCGGGCCGAGCGAGGAGGGGCGAGGUCGCCGCGUGACGUCAGGACGCCGCGGUCAGAACGUCGAAGCCAAAGAAGACCAGAGCCAGCCGGGUGGCCGAUCGGUGUCGUGGUCGUGUUGCUAAUCGCCUGGGUGGUUGUUGGCGUGUCCCUGCAGCGAAGGGUCCUGGUUGACAGUGAAAAAGCAGUCUGGCUCCCGAGGUCCACCCCUUCUACCCCAAGGUCCGGAUGGCGGCCAACGUGGGUGAUCAACGUGGCACAGAUUGGUCUUCUCAGUAUAGCAUGGUGGCUGGGGCAGGCCGAGAGAAUGGCAUGGAGACGCCAAUGCACGAGAACCCGGAGUGGGAGAAGGCCCGCCAGGCCCUGGCCAGCAUCAGCAAGUCAGGAGCCGCCGGCAGCUCUGCCAAGUCCAGCAGCAAUGGGCCUGUGGCCAGCGCACAAUACGUGUCCCAGGCAGAAGCGUCAGCUUUGCAGCAGCAGCAGUACUACCAGUGGUACCAGCAGUACAACUAUGCCUACCCCUACAGCUACUACUAUCCCAUGAGCAUGUACCAGAGCUACGGCUCCCCUUCCCAGUAUGGGAUGGCCAGCUCCUAUGGCUCAGCCACACCCCAGCAGCCAUCCGCACCCCAGCACCAGGGGACUCUGAACCAGCCCCCAGUCCCCGGCAUGGAUGAGAGCAUGUCCUACCAGGCUCCCCCUCAGCAGCUGCCGUCGGCUCAGCCCCCUCAGCCCUCAAAUCCCCCGCAUGGGGCUCACACGCUGAACAGUGGCCCUCAGCCUGGGACAGCUCCAGCCACACAGCACAGCCAGGCGGGGCCCGCCACAGGCCAGGCCUAUGGGCCACACAGCUACGCUGAACCUGCCAAGCCCAAGAAGGGCCAACAGCUGUGGAACCGCAUGAAACCGGCCCCUGGGACUGGAGGUCUCAAGUUCAACAUCCAGAAGCGACCAUUUGCUGUCACCACCCAGAGCUUUGGCUCCAGCGCAGAGGGCCAGCACGGCGGCUUCGGCCCCCAGCCCAACCCUGAGAAAGCUCAGAACCACAGCGGGUCCUCUGCCCGGGGGACCCUGUCUGGGAAGCCCGACGACUGGCCCCAGGACAUGAAAGAGUACGUGGAGCGCUGCUUCACCGCCUGUGAGUCGGAGGAGGACAAGGACCGCACGGAAAAGCUGCUCAAGGAGGUGCUGCAGGCGCGGCUGCAGGACGGCUCGGCCUAUACCAUUGACUGGAGCCGGGAGCCCCUGCCAGGGCUGACCCGGGAGCCUGUGGCCGAGAGCCCUAAGAAGAAGCGGUGGGAGGCCCCUAGCAGCCUUCACCCUCCUAGAGGGGCGGGCUCAGCGACUAGGGGCGGGGGUGCUGCGUCCCAGCGAGGGACGCCGGGGGCCGGGGGUGCUGGUCGAGCCCGGGGCAACAGCUUCACCAAGUUUGGCAACCGCAACGUCUUCAUGAAGGACAACAGCUCUUCGUCCAGCACAGACUCCCGCUCCCGCUCCUCCUCCAGGUCCCCAACCCGCCACUUCCGCAGAAGUGACUCCCAUUCAGACUCCGACAGCUCCUACUCAGGAAACGAGUGUCACCCUGUGGGCCGCAGGAACCCGCCCCCUAAGGGCCGGGGUGGUCGAGGGGCCCAUGUGGAUCGGGGCCGAGGCAGGGCACAGCGUGGGAAGAGGCACGAUCUGGCUUCCACCAAGCGCAGUCGAAAGAAGAUGGCGGCGCUGGAGUGCGAGGACCCCGAGCGCGAGCUGAAGAAGCAGAAGCGGGCAGCUCGCUUCCAGCACGGACACUCCCGCCGUCUGCGCCUCGAGCCCCUGGUGCUGCAGAUGAGCAGCCUGGAGAGCAGCGGGGCCGACCCUGACUGGCAGGAGCUGCAGAUCGUGGGCACCUGCCCUGACAUCACCAAGCACUACCUGCGCCUCACCUGUGCCCCCGACCCGUCCACCGUGCGCCCUGUGGCAGUUUUGAAAAAAUCGCUGUGCAUGGUCAAGUCCCACUGGAAAGAGAAGCAGGACUACGCGUUUGCCUGCGAGCAGAUGAAGUCGAUCCGGCAGGAUCUGACGGUGCAGGGCAUCCGCACCGAGUUCACGGUGGAGGUUUACGAGACCCACGCCCGGAUUGCCUUGGAGAAGGGUGACCACGAAGAGUUUAACCAGUGCCAGACACAGCUCAAGUCCCUGUAUGCCGAGAACUUGCCCGGCAACGUGGGCGAGUUUACUGCCUACCGAAUCCUCUACUACAUCUUCACCAAGAACUCAGGAGACAUCACCACGGAGCUGGCAUACCUCACACGAGAACUGAAGGCAGAUCCUUGCGUGGCCCACGCCUUGGCAUUAAGGACAGCCUGGGCCCUGGGCAACUACCACCGCUUUUUCCGGCUCUACUGCCAUGCACCCUGCAUGUCUGGCUACCUCGUGGACAAGUUUGCAGAUCGGGAACGCAAGGUCGCCCUCAAAGCCAUGAUCAAAACGUAUGUGGUGCCAAGCUCCCUUCUGCCCUUGCUCUUCCCAUCCUUCUGUCUCACACCGCCUCUCAGACCAGCUCCUGGCCGCAGGCCUCCCCCAGCCCCCGACCCUUCUCCUGGUCCUUGCUCUCCCAUCUUUCUCCGUUCAGCCCUCCCCUCUCCAGUUCCUCUUGCUUUCCUUCUUGGCCACCUCUGUGUUCCGGGUCACUCCUCCCCGCCUUCCCACUGUUCCCAGCUCACUGCCUCUGGGGCCUCUUUUCCACCCCGUCUGUGCGUUUCUUCCUCCUGUUCUCUCCUGCCUGGAUCCCCUAGUUCACUCCUUGCUCUGGGCUUCCUCAGAACCCUGAGGUCUCUGCUUUCUCAGCUUGUCGCUGUGCUCCCACCAUAGAGACCACCCAGGCAGUCUCUGGUCUAACAGGACAAGGCCCUGUCCCAUGCAGCUCCUUGGAGAGCACCAGAAACACUUAGGGAGACACCUGCGAUGAGGCCACACUGGGCGUGGUGCCAAAGGCCCCCAGUCAGGCCGUGCCCCUGCAGUGUCCUUUGUUCACUAGACAUUGCUCUUGGCUUGCUGUGGGUAGGGGACAGUUGCUUGACUCACGUUUAGACGCAUGGUUCUGUCUGGUGAUUGAGGUGCCCAGGCGACGCUGGGCAAUGUCAAGAGAGGUUUUCGGUUGUCACAGCAAGGGGAUGCUCUUGGCAUCUAGUGAGUGAAGGCCAGGGUUGCUGAGGCCAGGUGUGCUGCCCCACCACUGCCACUGGGGCCCAGAGGUCAGUCUUGCCAAGGUGGAGAAAUUCUGGUCGAAGAGGUUGACCAGUAGACUGGAGAGGCCUUGAGUGCCUGGCCAGGUGGCCCUCCGUGUGAGCUCAGUCACAGCAUGGAGGCCUUGAGUGCCUGGCCAGGUGGCCCUCCGUUUGAGGUCAUAGUCACAGCAUCGUUUGGAGCUAGGGAGGGAUCGUCAGCCUGGAGAUUGGGAGACUCAUUCUGGAAUCUAGUGUGGGUUAAGCCAACUUCAGGGAGAGGCUGAGCCAGGGUAGGAGUCACAGGAGCAGACGAGCAUGUGGGAUGCCGUGCCCAGAGCUCCAUGCCAGCUUGGGAAGUUAGAGGCAGGAGGCUGCCCAGUCUGCUGCCAUGAUGGGCCCCAUGAAUGGCGGCUCUCAAGCUUCCGACUGCACAGGGGCCUGUGGUUGGGCGAGCAUCCUGGUGAAUUGAUGCCUAAUUGGCCUUGGUUGGGAACAUAGCCGUGAGGCUACUCGUGGGUGGGGCCCUAGUCUGUCAUUGACCUCAUUGUGUCAGCACCUUUCCCCCAAGGAGGCUGACCCUGCCCUGCCAGCUGAGACUGGGAGAUGGCGUGGGCUCUGAUCCCAUGGCCUCCAUGAAGCUCUGGCUUUGGAGCAGAAGUGGAUUCUAGGACUUAGUUCCCCUCACUUGGUGCCUUGGUUCCUGUGUGUGUGGAAAGGGUAGGGCUGCACCGCCUGUGGAAGAGGGUUCAGGGAGCUCUGAGGACCUGGGUCAUGCUAGAUGCUUAGUAGUGUCGCUUAGCAGCAGCCAGAAGUAAUUGCUUUUAGUAUGUAGUGGUGAUUGCUGGCUGGCACCCCUGUGCCUGGCCUCCCAAAGACACUGUAAUGCAGGGCAGAGGAAGCAGCGAGGGCCGGGUCCCCAUGGUGGCCCUGGCAGCCCUGCCAGCCCUGCCAUCCCCAUCCCCUGCCGCGUGUUGCUCCCUCCAUCUGGCCCCUGCCCCUCAGCCAGCAGAGGAGCCUGCUGGGCCCUUCCCUGCCUGUCCCCUCUCCUCCCUGGCCCCUGCACAGGUAAGUGAGGGCGAGGGGGGGCACAGCUGGGGGCUGGGGCCACUAACCCCACCCCGGGCCCCCCUAAGCCCCUGAGGUGGGGAGGCUGGGAGGCGGGUGGGGAAGCCAGCAGGUACUGUGCUGAGGAAAUCCUGUGGGUACCCGAAUGGGGGGGCCUCCCCGCUCGUGGGGCCCUCCCCUGCCCUCCCGCCCGCCCGCCUCAUCACCUUCUCCUCUUGUCUCCAUAGCUUCCGCCCUGCGCUGCCAGUCUCCUACCUGCAGGCCGAGCUGGCCUUCGAGGGCGAGGCCACCUGCCGGGCCUUCCUAGAGCCCCUGGGCCUGGCCUACACGGGCCCGGACAACUCCAGCAUCGACUGCCGCCUCAGCCUGGCGCAGCUGUCAGCCUUCUGAGCACCCAGCGAGGAGGGGGCGGGGGCAGGGGCUGCAGCCCCGGCGCUGCCUUUGCGGAUUCUGUUUUUGAGCCGUGGACUUGGGUUGUAAAUUUAUUUGUGGGGAGUGGGCUCCAGGAAGAGCCACCGUCCCUGCCCCCGUUUUCCCACCGGGGAGUCUGUACAGAGAUUUUUCUACGUUUUUAUUUUUUGCCUCAGAGGGAUGGGAUUGGGGAGGAGGGGAUGGGCAGCGGAGGGUUGGGGGCAUGGUCUGCAGGCUCAUCUGUGUCCGCCUUUCACUCCACUAAUGCUGUCUCAGUGUUUUCUCUCUCUCUCUUUCGAGCUUGCACUCCGGUACCCGACCCGGCGCCCUGGCCCAUCCCAUGCCGGGGGGCCAGUGGAAAGAAGACAGGCCGUCCAGCCCGUGCCCGCCUGCGGCGGGGGCAUCCAGCAAGCCCGCCCACCGCCCGCUGCCUCACCUGCUUCGCCACAGACUCUUGUUCCCAGCCCCUUGGGGCCACCGUGUUUGGGGUGAGGGGAGCUGCUUAGAGACUGUGCCCGUCCUUGGCCCCCCACCCUGAAGUGCCAGCACCACCAGCACCAGAUCCUCCGCCGCCACACCGCACUGAGGACACGCCGGCCGGGCCGCCUCGUCUCAAGUUGUAUACAGUUGUCUCCGUGUCCCCUCCUCCCUCUGCCCCCAAUGUUUCUUCUGAUUUUUUUUUCCCCUUUCCUUCCCUCCUCCCUGCAUUCCUCCCUUGGUUCAGCACAGGUAAAAUGGCUCCCCUCCCUCCCUGCCUUCAUGGAUCACCAGCUCACGUCAUGUUGCCUUCUCUUUUCUUUGUGUGUGUGUUUAAGUUAUUUUUCUUCCUCCUCUCCCUUUUCUUUUUGGCCCUCCCUCCCUCCCUCUUCUGCCAUGUAACUGGAGGAUGUGCUAUGAGUUUGCAAACAGCUGGACUGUCAGGCUGCUUUUUUUCCAGAUGUUCCUCCUCUGCCUUCCCUUCCCCUCCUCUCCCCUCCCUUUCCUUCCUUCCUUCCUUUCCUUGGAGCACUGAGCACCAUUUGGAAGCUUGAGAGAAACCAAAAUUAAAGAGAGAGAGAGAGAGAGAG